UACGUAGGGGGCGAGCGUUGUCCGGAGUUACUGGGCGUAAAGCGCACGCAGGCGGUGCUGCGCGUUUGGGGUUACAGCUCCCGGCUCAACCGGGAGAGCGCCUCGAAGACGGCAGCACUUGAGGGCCAGAGAGGGACACGGAACUCCGGGUGGAGUGGUGAAAUGCGUAGAUAUCCGGAGGAACACCGAAGGCGAAGGCAGUGUCCUGGCGAGUGACUGACGCUGAGGUGCGAAAGCCAGGGGAGCGAACGGG
This 253-nucleotide ribosomal RNA is filed under the name uncultured bacterium. Its description in RNAcentral is "partial 16S ribosomal RNA". It matches the Rfam family "Bacterial small subunit ribosomal RNA", at positions 524 to 776 of the family's 1533-position model. The record is from RNAcentral.